This 77-nucleotide non-coding RNA is filed under the name Lysobacterales bacterium. Its description in RNAcentral is "Xanthomonadales bacterium SAH sequence". It matches the Rfam family "SAH (S-adenosyl-L-homocysteine) riboswitch aptamer". The record is from RNAcentral. Lineage: Bacteria; Pseudomonadati; Pseudomonadota; Gammaproteobacteria; Lysobacterales.
CCCGCCGAGGGGCGCUGCGACCGUCAGGCGACGGCCAGGCUCGGCGAGGUUCCACGCACCAACGGCGCCCGGUUGCU